UGGGGAAUAUUGCACAAUGGGCGAAAGCCUGAUGCAGCGACGCCGCGUGAGUGAAGAAGUAUUUCGGUAUGUAAAGCUCUAUCAGCAGGGAAGAAAAUGACGGUACCUGACUAAGAAGCCCCGGCUAACUACGUGCCAGCAGCCGCGGUAAUACGUAGGGGGCAAGCGUUAUCCGGAUUUACUGGGUGUAAAGGGAGCGUAGACGGCGAAGCAAGUCUGAAGUGAAAACCCAGGGCUCAACCCUGGGACUGCUUUGGAAACUGUUUUGCUAGAGUGUCGGAGAGGUAAGUGGAAUUCCUAGUGUAGCGGUGAAAUGCGUAGAUAUUAGGAGGAACACCAGUGGCGAAGGCGGCUUACUGGAUGAUAACUGACGUUGAGGCUCGAAAGCGUGGGGAGCAAACAGG
This 404-nucleotide ribosomal RNA is filed under the name Fusobacteriota bacterium. Its description in RNAcentral is "Fusobacteria bacterium partial 16S ribosomal RNA". It matches the Rfam family "Bacterial small subunit ribosomal RNA", at positions 355 to 776 of the family's 1533-position model. Lineage: Bacteria; Fusobacteriati; Fusobacteriota. The record is from RNAcentral.